Molecule: long non-coding RNA, 2110 nt
Filed under: Sorghum bicolor (sorghum)
Lineage: Eukaryota; Viridiplantae; Streptophyta; Magnoliopsida; Poales; Poaceae
Description: long non-coding RNA (SBIC_LNC002581)
Source: RNAcentral
GAAAUCCUUCUCUCCUGCCAGCCGCGGGCAGCGCCCCACGGCUGGCGUUCCUAGCGCCCAAAACCCUAGCCUCCUCUCUCGCUCCCACAGCCGCCUUCCUGUAAACAGUACCCACGGGCACUGUAGCGCGGGUACUGUUCAUGCCAUCAGCUGCCGCUCCUUCGAUCCCAAUCCAUCUCCCUCGAUCCCCAGCAGCCACAUAACAAUAACAGUCCGCUGAUUAUAUCCCUCCAAAUCUGUCCAAAACCAAGCUGCUGCAAGAUCUCCAGUAAAAAGGGCCAAGACACAGAAUCAAAUGCCUUCGAGAUAUCCAACUUGAGUAGAAUUCGGGGCUGUUUCUGCUGAUGAAGGUACCUCGCUGUCUGCUGCACUAACAUGAAGUUAUCCUGUAUAAAACGGCCUUUGAUGAAGGCACUUUGAUUAGGCGAGACAAUUUGUUGCAGCUUAGGGGCAAGCCGAUUAGCAAGCAGCUUUGUGAUUAGUUUGACAAAACUGUGGACCAAACUUAUAGGUCUGAAAUCCUUAGGUUGAUCUGCGCCCUCCAUUUUUGGGAGAAGGGUGAUAUAGGCUGAGUUGAGAGUGCCAAAAUUCCCCAUCUUCCUACUCCAGACCGCUGAAACUGCCACCAUAAUGUCAUCCUUUAUAAUAGGCCAGCAAGACUUGUAAAAACAGCCUGUGAAACCAUCCGGUCCGGGAGCCUUAUCUGAAGGUAGCUGCUGGAUCGUCCUCCACACCUCAUCUUCAGUGAAGGGGAGAUCAAGAUCUGACAUAUCAUGUGUAUCAAUUCCCAAAUUAGGCAAGUUAAUGGUGUGCUCCCUAACUGUACAGGUACCCAACAGAUCUUCAUAAAAAUCAUCAAUGAUCGCAGCUUUGUCCUCAUGGCUGAUGCAAAUUCGCUCUCCUGUGAUAAGCUUCCCAAUAAAAUUCCUUCUUUUUCGGUGUCUAGCAUGCAGAUGGAACAGCCUUGUAUUAGCAUCGCCAUCUUUGAGCCAACUGAUCCUUGAGCGUAAGUGAGCCAUUGUGCGCUUCAGGGAAGCAAGGGCCAAGCUGUGCUUCUUCAGAUUGUUCUUAAACCAUAGUUCUCUAGGGGAAAGCUGGCGGUUGUCUUGAGCAAUCUCAAAUUGAUGCAAGAUUUCUCUUGCCAAAGCAAGCUGAAAAUUAAUUUGACCCACCGCCUUGUCACUCCAACUCUGCAGCCCUUUGGAAACGGCUCUAAACUUUCUGUUCAGAGUUAAGAAAGGGCAUGGAGCAGCAGGGAUUGAAGUCCAUGCUGAGGAGACAGCUUCCUGAAAGCCAUCAAGUUUAGUCCAGAAGGACUCAAAAUGGAAUCGGGGUCUUCCAGGUUUACUGUCAUUGAGACCAAGUAGGAGCGGGCAAUGAUCAGAAUCCUCUGAAGCCAUACUCUGAAGUAAACAGUUUGGAAAUUUCUCCUCCCAAUCAACAGAACACAGAACUCUAUCCAAUCUCACCAGUGUAGGAGAGUUUUGCUGAUUUGACCAUGUGUAUUUUCGUCCAUGAAGGGGUAUCUCUUUAAGGGCCAAGUCAUUGAUAAACCUCCUAAAACGACCCAUCAUUGCUCUAUUAUAAUUGGCAUUAUUUUUGUCUUCAUCCCUGUAGAUUAGAUUAAAAUCUCUAGCCACCAUCCAUGGUCCCGGACAAGCUGCACGAAUAUCACGUAACUCCUGUAGAAACUGAAUUUUUUCAUCAUUGCCUUGAGGCCCAUAAACACAAGUCAACCACCACGACUGCCCAUUUACUGGGGAGAACUGAACUGUUACACUAUGAUUAUCAACCCGCUGAGCUGUAGAAACUCCGAUAUGCCGUCUCCAGGCAAUCAAGAUUCCUCCACUAGCACCAAUCGAGGGGGCGAAAGUGAAGUCUGAGAAAUCCGAGCCUAAUGCAGAGAGUAUAAUUCUGCGCGACAAUUCCGUGAUCUUGGUUUCCUGAAUACAAACAAUAUCCGACCGAGAAGAAUCCACAAAAGAACAUACAGAGUCUUGCUUGGAGAUAGAGUUCAAUCCCCUAACAUUCCAAAUCAAAAUUUUUUCAGGAUCCAUAAACACAAGUUGAAGGACGACCACUCAGGCACCAGACUGCUAACCCAACAUUU